GAUGAACGCUGGCGGCGUGCCUAAUACAUGCAAGUCGAGCGAACGGACGAGAAGCUUGCUUCUCUGAUGUUAGCGGCGGACGGGUGAGUAACACGUGGAUAACCUACCUAUAAGACUGGGAUAACUUCGGGAAACCGGAGCUAAUACCGGAUAAUAUUAUGAACCGCAUGGUUCAAAAGUGAAAGACGGUCUUGCUGUCACUUAUAGAUGGAUCCGCGCUGCAUUAGCUAGUUGGUAAGGUAACGGCUUACCAAGGCAACGAUGCAUAGCCGACCUGAGAGGGUGUUCGGCCACACUGGAACUGAGACACGGUCCAGACUCCGACGGGAGGCAGCAGUAGGGAAGCUUCCGCAAUGGGCGAAAGCCUGACGGAGCAACGCCGCGUGAGUGAUGAAGGUCUUCGGAUCGUAAAACGCUGUUAUUAGGGAAGAACAUAUGUGUAAGUAACUGUGCACAUCUUGACGGUACCGAAUCAGAAAGCCACGGCUAACUACGU
RNAcentral lists this ribosomal RNA (496 nucleotides) under uncultured bacterium. RNAcentral's name for it is "partial 16S ribosomal RNA". It matches the Rfam family "Bacterial small subunit ribosomal RNA", at positions 28 to 506 of the family's 1533-position model. The record is from RNAcentral.